Molecule: ribosomal RNA, 467 nt
Filed under: uncultured bacterium
Lineage: Bacteria
Description: bacterial SSU rRNA
Rfam family: Bacterial small subunit ribosomal RNA
Source: RNAcentral
GACGAACGCUGGCGGCGUGCUUAACACAUGCAAGUCGAACGGUGACGAGGAGCUUGCUCCUCCGAUCAGUGGCGAACGGGUGAGUAACACGUGAGUAACCCUGCCCCAGACUCUGGGAUAACAGUUGGAAACAGCUGCUAAUACCGGAUACGAGACGGAGAGGCAUCUCUACCGUCUGGAAAGUUUUUCGGUCUGGGAUGGACUCGCGGCCUAUCAGCUUGUUGGUGAGGUAAUGGCUCACCAAGGCGACGACGGGUAGCCGGCCUGAGAGGGCGACCGGCCACACUGGGACUGAGACACGGCCCAGACUCCUACGGGAGGCAGCAGUGGGGAAUAUUGCACAAUGGGCGAAAGCCUGAUGCAGCGACGCCGCGUGAGGGAUGACGGCCUUCGGGUUGUAAACCUCUUUCAGCAGGAAAGAAGCGAAAGUGACGGUACCUGCAGAAGAAGCACCGGCUAACUACGUG